This 537-nucleotide long non-coding RNA is filed under the name Phoenix dactylifera (date palm). RNAcentral describes it as "long non-coding RNA (PDAC_LNC020708)". The record is from RNAcentral. Lineage: Eukaryota; Viridiplantae; Streptophyta; Magnoliopsida; Arecales; Arecaceae.
UGUGGUUGAUUAAUUAAAAACUAUUGCAAGUUAUUUAAUUAAUGCUAAGUGCUGUGAGUGAUGUGAGGGGAAGAAGAAGAGAGACAAUCCAAUGCAAACACAGAGUUUUAUAGUGGUUCGGAGCUACCCCUUGCUCCUACGUCCACUCCCCAAGUCUCUCUUGGGAAUUCACUAUAACCCCCUUGGAUUACAGCCGGUUGUUUUGCAAGCUCACAACCAAACUUGUUGUUUUACGAGCUCACAACAAACUCGGUCGGUUUUCCCAGGCUCACCGACUAGAACCAACCCCGAUUGUUUUCCCGGGCUCACAAUCAAACCCUUACACACGUUGGUUUUUAACUUGGCUCACCAACCAACCUUAAUCCCCUUGAUUCAAUCCUCCGAUUGAACCAAGUAAAUACAAGUUAUAGAAAGAAAGGAAAAUAAGCUUCUCAAAAGCAGAUGUAAAACAAUAUAAUCAAAAGAGGAGUUUAGAAGCCCUCAAACGCUUUUAAGCUGAAGUAGAGGAAUGGCUUCUUGAACUCCGGUCUCCUCUAG